Plodia interpunctella (Indianmeal moth) is the source of this 301-nucleotide long non-coding RNA. RefSeq lists it as uncharacterized. The transcript has 3 exons. NCBI's taxonomy places the organism in Eukaryota, Metazoa, Arthropoda, Insecta, Lepidoptera, Pyralidae. The record is from RefSeq and is a predicted model, not a curated record.
CCUUGACGCCCACAUUUUCGAUACAUGCAGUAGUGAUUUCGAGCGCUAAAUAACAACAUCUGUUUUACAUCUAUUCCGUAAUGAAUAUCCGAUUCCAAUUAUGUGUAAUAAUACUUAUGAUGCCAAGUAUGUGUGUUGCGCGAAAAUUAGUUCGGCGAAAUGCUGAUUACUUGAUUGGAUCUACGUUCACUUUCGGUGAGAGGCAAGUGGACGAUUGCCUUUAUUAUCAUCAAGAUUCACCUUGGCGAUGCUAUUCGGAGCAAGUGGGCGUUAACCCUGAUUGGUAGAAAAUUUGAUAUUA